This 407-nucleotide ribosomal RNA is filed under the name uncultured prokaryote. RNAcentral's name for it is "bacterial SSU rRNA". It matches the Rfam family "Bacterial small subunit ribosomal RNA", at positions 355 to 774 of the family's 1533-position model. The record is from RNAcentral.
UGGGGAAUAUUACACAAUGGGCGCAAGCCUGAUGCAGCGACGCCGCGUGGGGGAUGACGGCCUUCGGGUUGUAAACCUCUUUCAGCAUCGACGAAGCGCAAGUGACGGUAGAUGCAGAAGAAGCACCGGCCAACUACGUGCCAGCAGCCGCGGUAAUACGUAGGGUGCGAGCGUUGUCCGGAAUUACUGGGCGUAAAGAGCUCGUAGGUGGUUUGUCGCGUUGUUCGUGAAAACUCACAGCUUAACUGUGGGCGUGCGGGCGAUACGGGCAGACUGGAGUACUGCAGGGGAGACUGGAAUUCCUGGUGUAGCGGUGGAAUGCGCAGAUAUCAGGAGGAACACCGGUGGCGAAGGCGGGUCUCUGGGCAGUAACUGACGCUGAGGAGUGAAAGCGUGGGGAGCGAACA